This 454-nucleotide ribosomal RNA is filed under the name uncultured bacterium. RNAcentral describes it as "partial 16S ribosomal RNA". It matches the Rfam family "Bacterial small subunit ribosomal RNA", at positions 338 to 790 of the family's 1533-position model. The record is from RNAcentral.
CCUACGGGUGGCAGCAGUGAGGAAUAUUGGUCAAUGGUCGGGAGACUGAACCAGCCAAGUCGCGUGAGGGAAGACGGCCCUACGGGUUGUAAACCUCUUUUGUCGGGGAGCAAAGCGAACCACGUGUGGUUCAUUGAGAGUACCCGAAGAAAAAGCAACGGCUAACUCCGUGCCAGCAGCCGCGGUAAUACGGAGGAUGCGAGCGUUAUCCGGCUUUAUUGGGUUGAAAGGGUGCGCAGGCGGAGGUGCAAGUCAGCGGUCAAAUUGCGGGGCUCAACCCCGUACUGCCGUUGAACCUGCAUCGCUUGAGUGAGCGAGAAGUAUGCGGAAUGCGUGGUGUAGCGGUGAAAUGCAUAGAUAUCACGCAGAACUCCGAUUGCGAAGGCAGCAUACCGGCGCGCAACUGACGCUCAUGCACGAAAGCGUGGGUAUCGAACAGGAUUAGAUACCCCAC